Molecule: ribosomal RNA, 492 nt
Filed under: Acizzia solanicola
Lineage: Eukaryota; Metazoa; Arthropoda; Insecta; Hemiptera; Psyllidae
Description: partial small subunit ribosomal RNA
Source: RNAcentral
GUUGCGGUUACACAAAAGAAAUUAAGAAAAUUUUUAUUCAUAUUAAUUAUAUAGAUUAAAUUGAAAUAAAAUUAUAGAUUUAAGGUAAAAUUUUAUUUGUAAGUAUUUUUCUACUUAGAUUAAAUUAAGAAGCUUAAGCUUAUAAAUCAGGAUUAGAUACCCUGUUAUUCAGUGUUUAAAUGUGUUGGAGUAGUAAAAGUUACGUUCUUUAAACUCAAAAAAUUUGGCGGUAUUUUAUCUUAUUAGAGGAACCUGUUUAAUAAUUGAUAUUCCACAACUAAAAUUUACUUUAAUUAUAAUAUUUGUAUACCGCUGUCAUGAAUCUAUUUAGAAAUGUAAUUUUCUAUUGUUUUUAUGUAAGUCAUGUUAGGUCAAGGUGCAGUUUAUUAAAGUUACUAAUGGGUUACUUUAUUAAUAUGAAUGGAGGAAAUUAAGGUGAAAUUUUUUAGAAAAAGGAUUUAAUAGUAAAUAAAUUAAAGAAAUUACAUGAAU